GAUGAACGCUGGCGGCGUGCCUAAUACAUGCAAGUCGAGCGAACGGACGAGAAGCUUGCUUCUCUGAUGUUAGCGGCGGACGGGUGAGUAACACGUGGAUAACCUACCUAUAAGACUGGGAUAACUUCGGGAAACCGGAGCUAAUACCGGAUAAUAUUUUGAACCGCAUGGUUCAAAAGUGAAAGACGGUCUUGCUGUCACUUAUAGAUGGAUCCGCGCUGCAUUAGCUAGUUGGUAGGGUAACGGCUUACCAAGGCAACGAUGCAUAGCCGACCUGAGAGGGUGAUCGGACACACUGGAACUGAGACACGGUCCAGACUCCUACGGGAGGCAGCAGUAGGGAAUCUUCCGCAAAGGGCGAAAGCCUGACGGAGCAACGCCGCGUGAGUGAUGAAGGUCUUCGGAUCGUAAAACUCUGUUAUUAGGGAAGAACAUAUGUGUAAGUAACUGUGCACAUCUUGACGGUACCUAAUCAGAAAGCCACGGCUAACUACGUG
RNAcentral lists this ribosomal RNA (497 nucleotides) under uncultured bacterium. RNAcentral describes it as "partial 16S ribosomal RNA". It matches the Rfam family "Bacterial small subunit ribosomal RNA", at positions 28 to 507 of the family's 1533-position model. The record is from RNAcentral.